GUCUCUGGCCAUGCCACCCUCAACAAGCCCAAUGUUUGAUCUCGGAAGCUAAGCAGGUUUCGGACCUAGUUAGUAUUUGUUUGGGAGACCACCUAAGAAGACCAGGUGCUAUAGGCA
This 117-nucleotide ribosomal RNA is filed under the name Pteropus alecto (black flying fox). The record is from RNAcentral. Lineage: Eukaryota; Metazoa; Chordata; Mammalia; Chiroptera; Pteropodidae.